This 779-nucleotide non-coding RNA is filed under the name Delias pasithoe. Lineage: Eukaryota; Metazoa; Arthropoda; Insecta; Lepidoptera; Pieridae. The record is from RNAcentral.
AGAUAUAAAUUUAUGAUUUAAGAAAUUUAUUUUAAGUUUGAUUUAUAUGUAAAUUUUUGUGUUAAUUUUAUUGUAUUUUAAAAAUAUAAUAGUUAAUUUAACAGUAAUUAAAAUUAAAAAUUUAAGAAAUUAAGAUUUAGCAAUUCUAAAAUAAAUAACAAAUUUUGUGCCAGCAGUUGCGGUUAUACAAAAAUUUAAAUAAAUUUUUUUAAUAAUAAUAAAUAAUUAAAUUUAAGUUAAAAAUAAAAUUAUUGAGUGAAAUUUUAAUUUUUUAAAAAAAAAAUAAAUUAAAUAUGAAUUAAGAACUUUUAUUGAUAAACUAGGAUUAGAUACCCUAUUAUAAAAAAUUAAUUUUUAAAGUAUUAAAAUAGUAAAUAAUUUAUAUGUUGAAACUUAAAUAAUUUGGCGGUAUUUUAGUUCAUUUAGAGGAAUCUGUUUAUUAAUUGAUAAUCCACGAAUAAUUAUAUUUAAUUUAAAAUUUUAUAUAUCGUUGUUAAAAAAAUAUUUUUUAAAAAUAAAAAUAAUAUUUUAAAAUUUUAAAUAAAAAUUAAUUCAGAUCAAGAUGUAGAUAAUAAUUAAAAUUAAAAUGGAUUACAAUAUAAAAAUAUAAAUGGAAUAUAAUUUUGAAAUAAUUAUAGGAAAGUGGAUUUAAAUGUAAUUUUAAAUAAUUUUUUAAAAUGAUUUAAAAUUAAAAUAUGUACAUAUUGCCCGUCACUUUCAUUUAAAAAUUGAAAUAAGUCGUAACAAAGUAGGAGUACUGGAAAGUGUUCCUAGAAAGA